Molecule: long non-coding RNA, 877 nt
Filed under: Olea europaea subsp. europaea
Lineage: Eukaryota; Viridiplantae; Streptophyta; Magnoliopsida; Lamiales; Oleaceae
Source: RNAcentral
CUCCUUUCAACCACCACAUUCCCCGCCGGCAGCCACAACCACCCAUUUCUUUGAAUUUUUCUGCUUCUAGUUACAGCUGCACAAGCUUUCUUUCUUUUAAACUGAUUUAGCAGUAUUCACACAUGUAAAUUCAUGCUUUUGGCAUUCUCUAUGAUUCCAAGAAUUCACAGAUGAAACCAGUUUCUAAAGUUUGGUUCUGCUGCUGCUGAGCCACGUUGCCCCACCCGUACCCAUCCCAUUGGAAAAUUUUGUUGCUUUAAGCUAAAUUAAUCAUAGAAGGGUACUUGUUUUAGCUAAAGUUCAUUGACUUUGCUCCGGGUUCCGUUGGUAAUGGGGAUUGAAGACUAAUUUUGAGAGAAUUUGUUGGAUUGGCUUGGCUAAGAUCAUGUAAGUUUCUAUAUACCCAGAAAUUUUGAAUUUACAAAUUUUGGUUUUGUGGAGCUUAAGGUUUCGAGAGAAAUUGGUGGUGGUGGCUACCGGUUGGUUUUGGUGGUUGGGAGGAGUGAUUUUGAUUUGGGGAAGAAGGAGAUGGGUUGUGGUUUUAUUUAUUUUUAUUUUUUUAAAUUUUUGAUGUAAUUGAAAAAAAUGUGUUUUAUCCAAAAUAUUCCUAUCUUAUGUGUUCAAAUUAUUAAAUUUUUAAUUUUUGGGGUCAACUGACGAUUUUUGGAGUCAAACUAAUGAAAAUUGUCAAUUUAGACUUGAGCUGCACAUUUUUAAAGGUUUGAUACUCACGGUGGUACAAACUAAAGGUUUGGUCAAAGUCUGCUAAUAAACGAAAGGUUUGGUACCUUGACUGCAAUUUUCCCAAUUUAAAAUCCACUAUGUAAAUCCUUCAUAUUUAAUUCUACAAUUUAGGAAAGAUCCAAAACAAAACGAC